RNAcentral lists this ribosomal RNA (320 nucleotides) under uncultured Veillonellaceae bacterium. RNAcentral describes it as "partial 16S ribosomal RNA". The record is from RNAcentral. Lineage: Bacteria; Bacillati; Bacillota; Negativicutes; Veillonellales; Veillonellaceae.
GGAGUCUGGACCGUGUCUCAGUUCCAAUGUGACCGUUCAUCCUCUCAGACCGGUUACCGAUCGUCGGCUUGGUAAGCCGUUACCUUACCAACUACCUAAUCGGACGCAGGCUCCUCGCAAAGCGAUAAAUCUUUAAUAACCUCUCCAUGCGAAAAAGUUAUAACAUUCGGUAUUAGCAACCCUUUCGAGCUGUUGUCCCCAACUUUGCGGCAGAUUGCCUACGCGUUACUCACCCGUUUGCCGGUCGCCAUCAGAAGUUGCAAGCAACUCCCAUGCUGCCCCUCGACUUGCAUGUGUUAAGCCUGUAGCUAGCGUUCAUC